This 189-nucleotide ribosomal RNA is filed under the name uncultured bacterium. RNAcentral describes it as "partial 16S ribosomal RNA". It matches the Rfam family "Bacterial small subunit ribosomal RNA", at positions 338 to 524 of the family's 1533-position model. The record is from RNAcentral.
CCUACGGGAGGCAGCAGUGAGGAAUAUUGGUCAAUGGACGCAAGUCUGAACCAGCCAUGCCGCGUGCAGGAUGACGGUCCUAUGGAUUGUAAACUGCUUUUGUACGAGAAGAAACACUCCUUCGUGAAGGAGCUUGACGGUAUCGUAAGAAUAAGGAUCGGCUAACUCCGUGCCAGCAGCCGCGGUAAU